GAAAGACUGUUUUGUUUGUUCGGAGAUUCGCGAUUGUUCUGCUGUGGCUGUGCUUAGAACUAUUUUUGUUAUGGAAAUGAAGCAAAAACUAUCCACAAUGUCUCUAAAAUAUAGCUCAGUGUCAGACUGAGAAAAAGUCAAUAAAGGAGAAGAAAGCGUACAGUCCUAUAGCUGUCACAGAAUCUCUGGAAUUAUUUGGAAUGGACCUUAUUGAGACUGAAAAUGGCUACCAAUACAUGUGUGUUAUGGUGGACUAUUUUACCAAGUGUUCUGAAGCCUAUCCUCUCAAAACCAAAAAUGCAGAAGAGGUCAGGACAUUGUUAAUUUUUUUUUUCUUUUUUUUUUUUUUUACAAAUUAGAUUAGGGGAGAGAGAUUGUAAACAAGGUUAAUUUAACACAAAUAAAUACAUGUAUUGAU
This is a long non-coding RNA of Carassius auratus (goldfish), 418 nucleotides long. RefSeq lists it as uncharacterized. The record is from RefSeq and is a predicted model, not a curated record. NCBI's taxonomy places the organism in Eukaryota, Metazoa, Chordata, Actinopteri, Cypriniformes, Cyprinidae. The transcript has 3 exons.